RNAcentral lists this unclassified non-coding RNA (434 nucleotides) under soil metagenome. RNAcentral's name for it is "partial contains 5.8S ribosomal RNA, internal transcribed spacer 2, and large subunit ribosomal RNA". The stretch from base 1 to 120 matches the Rfam family "5.8S ribosomal RNA", at positions 35 to 154 of the family's 154-position model. The record is from RNAcentral.
GAUGAAGAACGCAGCGAAAUGCGAUACGUAAUGUGAAUUGCAGAAUUCAGUGAAUCAUCGAAUCUUUGAACGCAUAUUGCGCUCUUUGGUAUUCCGAAGAGCAUGCUUGUUUGAGUAUCAGUAAACACCUCAAAGCUUUUGGAUUUUUUAAUCGAAAAGCUUUGGACUUGAGCAAUCCCAACACCAAUCUUUUUGAGAUCGGUGGCGGGUUGCUUGAAAUGCAGGUGCAGCUGGACAUUCUCCUGAGCUAAAAGCAUAUUCAUUUAGUCCCGUCAAACGGAUUAUUACUUUUGCUGCAGCUAACAUAAAGGGAGUUAGACCGUAUUGGCUGACUGAUGCAGGAUUUCACAAGGGUCGGCAACGAUUCUUGUUAAACUCGAUCUCAAAUCAAGUAAGACUACCCGCUGAACUUAAGCAUAUCAAUAAGCGGAGGA